RNAcentral lists this long non-coding RNA (1064 nucleotides) under Macaca mulatta (Rhesus monkey). Its description in RNAcentral is "lncRNA (ENSMMUG00000050686.1)". Lineage: Eukaryota; Metazoa; Chordata; Mammalia; Primates; Cercopithecidae. The record is from RNAcentral.
GGCAGGAGAAUUACCCCUGAAUGCUACCAUGAGCUCUAACUCCCUGCAGUUAGUUCUACAUCAGUGUUUUGAUGGAAUGAGUGAAAAUACUAUGUUGGAAUAAUGACUUCCAAAGAAUUGAGGAAAAUUAAAGUCCACCAAUCUCUGUUUUUAGCACAGUGCUGAGUGUGUGUGUGUGUGUGUGUGUGAGUGUGUGUGUUCCACACUUGAUGCUGUGUUAGGGAGAGAACACAAGACAGGAAGCUGUUUUCUUGAUGCAGAGCCAGGCUGAGAAAAGUAAAUACCAGAAUGUGUACGGUGUCAGAUGGGCAGAGGCCCAGUAGAGAAUGGAGCAAAGGAAACUACAAGGACAGCAACCUCAAGGCUGGGGAGUUCAGCGUGCAAAGAAGAUCGACCUGGCAUUGGUGCUUAAGCACCAGAGAACCGGCACCUGAGAAAGGCAGAGAAUAGAACUCAGCAUUACCGACUUGGAGUCAGGAGCUCCAGAUCUGCAACUCAUUUCACCUCCUUGGACCUCAACUCCUUUCUACAGGGGGAAGUUUGGGCUUGUGAAGAUAUUAGAUACCUUCCAGCUCUACUUGCUCUAAGGAAGAAAGCCAGUAUUUCUUGAAUGCCUACUAUGUGCCCAAAUCUGGGCAGUGCUAUGGGGCAUUAGGUGACAAUUCAGUGGACACGAAGCCUCUCGCCCAUCCCUGAUUCAGGUGCCCAGUGCAGAAUCACCCUUGGGGGCUCACCUGUACACUGUGGAAUGGGAUGUUGGGCUGGUGAGAAGGCAAGAGGCGUGGCUGGUGGCUGGAGAUAUGCAUGGCAGUGCCCUAAGUUGCAGGGUGGUGCCUCCAGGAGCCUGUAGUAUCUUCUCUAACACCAUAAGUAUCCAGGAGUCAGAGGGAGUGUGAUGUUAAAUAGCAAAUAAUAAGCACCAUGACUGACCGAGAGAGACAGUGGAAAAAACAAAAAGCUUUAUAUUCUAGUGCCUUUACUAACACUUUUUUCCCUCGUUUUUGAACAAGGAUCCCCACAUUUUCAUUUUGCAACAAGCCCUGCAAACUAGGUAGUCAUUUGGG